RNAcentral lists this ribosomal RNA (459 nucleotides) under uncultured bacterium. Its description in RNAcentral is "partial 16S ribosomal RNA". It matches the Rfam family "Bacterial small subunit ribosomal RNA", at positions 338 to 795 of the family's 1533-position model. The record is from RNAcentral.
CCUACGGGAGGCAGCAGUGAGGAAUAUUGGUCAAUGGGAGAGAUCCUGAACCAGCCAAGCCGCGUGAGGGAAGACGGCCCUAUGGGUUGUAAACCUCUUUUGUCGGAGAACAAACCCCGGGACGUGUCCCGGACUGCGUGUAUCCGAAGAAAAAGCAUCGGCUAACUCCGUGCCAGCAGCAGCGGUAAUACGGGGGAUGCGAACGUUAUCCGGAUUUAUUGGGUUUAACGGGUGCGUAGGCGGUCCGUUAAGGCAGCGGUAAAAUUGCGGGGCUCAACCCCGGCGAGCCGUUGAAACUGGCAGACUGGAGUUGGCGAGAGGUACGCGGAAUGCGCGGUGUAGCGGUGAAAUGCAUAGAUAUCGCGCAGAACUCCGAUUGCGAAGGCAGCGUACCGGAGCCAGACUGACGCUGAGGCACGAAAGCGUGGGGAUCGAACAGGAUUAGAUACCCUGGUAGUC